CUCGACUUUCUUCUCUUCAGAGAGUGUUUGUCUCAUUUCGUACCCAUCCAGCUCGAGAACCACCUCCUCUUCGGGAAUUCCGAUUAGGGUUUUCUCUCUCUAAAUGGCCGCAAUAUCAUGGAAGACUUUACAAAAUGUAUUUUCAGGAGGUUCUUGCCAAAGGAUUAGGCAAAUGGACGCUCAGAACACCAGGGAGUGUUUUGCCCCUACUAAGCUAAACUUGUUGCCGUUGCAGGACAGCAAGUUGGCAUGGGCUGGCAGACCAGCCACACAAUGGACUGUCUUUUCCAUGUACCAAAUUAGUACUGAAAAUCGAGCAAGUGUCUAUUGCAAUGCUGCUGCAUCAACUAGUGCCCCCUCUUUCUUGGAAAAGAUUGACUUCCGUAAGCUCCAAAAUGGCAGUGAUAUUCGUGGUGUCGCUGUUGGUGGUGUUGAGGGGGAGCUUGUCAAUCUCACUGAGGCAGUGGCAGAAGCUAUAGCUGCUGCCUUUGCUGCUUGGUUGUCAGACAAAAAGAAAGCAGAGGGAACAAAAAAACUACGUGUUUCUGUGGGGCACGAUUCACGUAUAUCUGCCCAAAUGUUACAGGAUGCUGUAUCCCGAGGAAUUGCUGGUGCUGGCCUUGAUGUUAUUCAAUAUGGAUUGGCAUCUACACCAGCCAUGUUCAAAAGCACGCUUACAGAAGAUGCGAACUUUAUGUGUCCAGUGGAUGGCUCUAUAAUGAUUACAGCAAGUCAUCUUCCUUACAAUCGUAAUGGGUUCAAAUUUUUCACAAGUGCUGAAGGACUAGGAAAAAAUGACAUUAAGGAUAUCCUAGAACGUGCUGCAAAUAUAUAUGAUGGUUUUUCUGAAGAGAAAUUGAAGGAAUCAAGACAGGUGGCUUAUGCAGCUGUGAAAAAGGUGGACUACAUGAAGGUUUACACAUCGGAUCUCGUAAAAGCAGUUCGCAAGGCAGCAGGAAAUAUAGAGAAGCCAUUGGAGGGGUUCCAUGUUGUCGUGGAUGCAGGAAAUGGAGCGGGAGGAUUUUUUGCUGGAAGCGUGCUUGAACCUUUAGGGGCUAUUACUUCUGGAAGUCAGUUCUUGGACCCAGAUGGCAUGUUUCCAAAUCAUAUCCCUAAUCCAGAAGACAAAGCAGCGAUGAAAGCUAUAACCACAGCUGCGCUUGCAAACAAGGCUGAUUUAGGCAUCAUAUUUGAUACCGAUGUUGACAGAUCUGCUGCCGUAGAUUCAAGUGGUCGCGAGUUUAACCGCAACAGAUUGAUUGCUUUGAUGUCUGCUCUUGUUCUGGAAGAGCAUCCAGGUACAACAAUUGUUACUGAUAGCGUGACUUCAGAUGGUCUGACUACAUUCAUUGAGAAGAAACUUGGAGGAAAGCAUCAUCGGUUUAAAAGAGGAUACAAGAAUAUUAUUGAUGAGGCCAUUCGUUUGAAUUCUGUGGGAGAGGAAUCACAUUUAGCCAUUGAAACCAGCGGUCAUGGAGCUCUCAAGGAGAAUAAUUGGCUUGAUGAUGGAGCAUUUCUCAUGGUUAAGCUUUUAAACAAACUUGCUUCAACUAGGGUAUCAGGAGGAGCAAAUGGAGGCAGUAAAGUUCUUACUGAUCUUAUUGAUGGCUUGGAGGAAGCAGCUGUUGCAGUGGAGCUAAGGCUUAAGAUUGAUCAGAACCAUGCAGAUCUCAAAGGAGGAUCUUUCAAGGACUAUGGAGAGGCUGUCCUGAAACAGUUGGAGAAAAUGUCAGAUGCUGAUCCGAAAUUGCUAAAAGCUCCUGUCAAUUAUGAGGGGGUUAGGGUUUCAGGCUAUGGUGGUUGGUUCCUCCUAAGAUUAUCCCUUCAUGACCCUGUUCUGCCUCUCAACAUUGAGGCACCAAGCAAUGAGGAUGCUGUGAAACUUGGACUUCUUGUGCUGUCCACUGUUAAAGAAUUUCCGGCUUUGGACAUUUCAGCAUUGGAAAAAUUCACCCAACCAUGAUACUUGAGUGCAGCAUUGGUUGCUUAGAUCCAACAUUCACCAUCUAUACUCACAGAGAUGGUGGGUCUGCCCCUACCUUUAUACAGGCACUCAUCUUCGCCGUCAAGGAAUAAAUAUUGAUGGUAGUUGUUGAGUAUCGCAAGGUGAUUGCUAGACAGAGAAGUUCUUCAUGCGGCUUCUAAUGUGCUGUAAGAGUAAACAUAUCCGUCUCUACAAAGCAUGUUAAGAAUGAUUCUAUCAUAAUGAAACAAUUCUCGUUUAUUUGCACGGAGUAAAUUAUGUCUAACCUGUAAUUUUUGUUGUUAUAAUUCAUCAUAUCAUCAUUUGAGUUUUUUCUCAA
Amborella trichopoda is the source of this 2303-nucleotide RNA transcript. It is a transcript of the gene named phosphoglucosamine mutase family protein, with no coding region annotated. NCBI's taxonomy places the organism in Eukaryota, Viridiplantae, Streptophyta, Magnoliopsida, Amborellales, Amborellaceae. The record is from RefSeq and is a predicted model, not a curated record.